AACGAACGCUGGCGGCAUGCCUAACACAUGCAAGUCGAACGAGAACUUCGGGUCUAGUGGCGCACGGGUGCGUAACGCGUGGGAACCUGCCCUUAGGUUCGGAAUAACUCCCCGAAAGGGGUGCUAAUACCGGAUAAUGUCUUCGGACCAAAGAUUUAUCGCCUUUGGAUGGGCCCGCGUUGGAUUAGCUAGUUGGUAGGGUAAAAGCCUACCAAGGCGACGAUUCAUAGCUGGUCUGAGAGGAUGAUCAGCCACACUGGGACUGAGACACGGCCCAGACUCCUACGCGAGGCAGCAGUGGGGAAUAGUGGACAAUGGGCGAAGUGCUGAUCCAGCAAUGCCGCGUGAGUGAUGAAGGCCUUAGAGUUGUAAAGCUCUUUUACCCGGGAUGAUAAUGACAGUACCGGGAGAAUAAGCUCCGGCUAACUCCGUG
This 433-nucleotide ribosomal RNA is filed under the name uncultured bacterium. RNAcentral describes it as "partial 16S ribosomal RNA". It matches the Rfam family "Bacterial small subunit ribosomal RNA", at positions 29 to 507 of the family's 1533-position model. The record is from RNAcentral.